Molecule: ribosomal RNA, 253 nt
Filed under: uncultured bacterium
Lineage: Bacteria
Description: partial 16S ribosomal RNA
Rfam family: Bacterial small subunit ribosomal RNA
Source: RNAcentral
UACGGAGGGUGCGAGCGUUGUUCGGAAUCACUGGGCGUAAAGCGCGUGUAGGCGGCCCACUAAGUCUGAUGUGAAAGCCCGGGGCUCACCCCCGGAAGUGCAUUGGAAACUGGUGGACUCGAGUCCCGGAGAGGAGAGUGGAAUUCCUGGUGUAGCGGUGAAAUGCGUAGAUAUCAGGAGGAACACCGGUGGCGAAGGCGGGUCUCUGGACAGUUCCUGACGCUGAGGCACGAAGGUCAGGGGAGCAAACGGG